UCCAGACUCCUACGGGAGGCAGCAGUGGGGAAUAUUGCACAAUGGGGGGAACCCUGAUGCAGCGACGCCGCGUGAGCGAGGAAGUAUUUCGGUAUGUAAAGCUCUGUCAGCAGGGAAGAAGAAUGACGGUACCUGAAGAAGAAGCACCGGCUAAAUACGUGCCAGCAGCCGCGGUAAUACGUAUGGUGCAAGCGUUAUCCGGAUUUACUGGGUGUAAAGGGAGCGCAGGCGGUUCUGCAAGUCUGAUGUGGAAGCCCGGGGCUCAACCGCGGGACUGCAUUGGAAACUGCGGGACUGGAGUGUCGGAGGGGUAAGCGGAAUUCCUGGUGUAGCGGUGAAAUGCGUAGAUAUCAGGAGGAACACCGGUGGCGAAGGCGGCUUACUGGACGAUGACUGACGCUGAGGCUCGAAAGCGUGGGGAGCAAACAGGAUUAGAUACCCGAGUAU
This 447-nucleotide ribosomal RNA is filed under the name uncultured bacterium. RNAcentral's name for it is "partial 16S ribosomal RNA". It matches the Rfam family "Bacterial small subunit ribosomal RNA", at positions 330 to 793 of the family's 1533-position model. The record is from RNAcentral.